ACUCCUGUAAGGGCUUUCCUCAGCUCACCACUUGUGCAGUCUAAUUACUGCUUAUUCCUUGUUUUUAGGGCUUUUCUCUUCCUUCUUUCCUCUGAAUUUGGAGCAGUAUUUUGAAAAGGGCUGAGACAACACCUUAGAUCCAGGCUUGUGUCUUCCAGCAGAGUUUUCAGUAUGGUUGGUGCAUAUGGGUAAAAAGGAGGGGUUCUGCUGAUCAGUUUCCAAAUGGAAUUUUACAACCUUCUUUGGCAAGAGAAGACAACCACGUGCUGAAACCAGUUCAGGGCAGAUUAGGUACAUUGAGCCAUCCCCAGUGUGAGCUUCCAGUUAAAUCUGAUUUAAGAGGAUUGCCACAAUGA
This 356-nucleotide long non-coding RNA is filed under the name Parus major (Great Tit). RNAcentral's name for it is "lncRNA (ENSPMJG00000011028.1)". The record is from RNAcentral. Lineage: Eukaryota; Metazoa; Chordata; Aves; Passeriformes; Paridae.